This 1094-nucleotide unclassified non-coding RNA is filed under the name Hevea brasiliensis (rubber tree). Lineage: Eukaryota; Viridiplantae; Streptophyta; Magnoliopsida; Malpighiales; Euphorbiaceae. The record is from RNAcentral.
AAACUUUGAAUAUAUUCAACCAAAUCUAUAUUGUUAGGAUCAUAGGAUGUUACAGGGGUUCAUGAACCAACAAAAGAUAAAUCUACAGAGACAACCAGAGCUUUCAGGAACCCAAAAAUCUAUCAAAAAGAAACAUCGAGAGCAAACUUGACCAAAAAAAGAAAGAGAAAAAAAAAGGAGAUAACGAUCAACAAAUUGCAUUAAUUCAUACACCUAGCAAGAAAGAAGCUAAACACAUUAAUUGCUAGAACACACACAUAUAUAUCUUUGAUUAACCUCUUUUAUAUGAGAUAGUUGAAGAUCAAAACCAACAGAGAGGAAUUUAAACCACAGUAACUAUUGUUUCAAGAAUGUCUAGUAAGAGAGCAGAGAAUUUGUGAAAUCUUCAUUUUCCUAAAAGACUUAUAUCAGGUUGACAUAUGAGAAACAUGUCCCAGAAAUGACAUUUGGAAUACAGCAACAGGUAUAAAUGAUAUACAUUGCAUGUGCAAUGUAUCAACCUCAUCCAUCUGGGGAUCAAAUUUUAGGAGUUCCAGUAGAUCUUAAGACUUGAUGCUGUUCAAAGACUAAAUUUCAGAACGGCAUCAACACUAAAUUUCAUAUGCUGUUUAGAAAAAAAUCACUAAGAUUAACUUUGCACACUUGCAUGUCUGAACUAAAUUAUCAGCUUCAUUUAGCUUGUAAACUUGUAUCCUUUCAAAACAUAUAAUAAAUCUCAAAGAGAUGUACAUACUAAUAGCAAUAGGCAGUUAGGCAAACUUAUCAGGUAUAGUCCUUUUGUAAGGAAAGGAAACACGUUUAAGCAGCUGGAAACAGCUUUUCACUAAUUGAAUAAACCCACAAGGCAUAAGAAAUGACAAGCAACAUUGCUACAUUUGAAAUCGAUUCUACGACCAAGAAAAUAAAAGCCAUCAAGAGUCUCAUAUCCUCCAUAUAAAUCCAAAAUUCAAUAAUCAGACCAUGUAUCACUAAAUUUUAUGAAAUUGCUAACAAGAUCCAAUCUCAAUCCUUUCGAAACCCCACCCUCACCACAGUAAAUUUACACAGAUUGGAAAAACUGCGGCUCAAGAAAAUAGAGUCAAACAAACAAAAAG